This 331-nucleotide unclassified non-coding RNA is filed under the name soil metagenome. RNAcentral's name for it is "partial contains 5.8S ribosomal RNA, internal transcribed spacer 2, and large subunit ribosomal RNA". The stretch from base 1 to 120 matches the Rfam family "5.8S ribosomal RNA", at positions 35 to 154 of the family's 154-position model. The record is from RNAcentral.
GAUGAAGAACGUAGCGAAAUGCGAUAAGUAGUGUGAAUUGCAGAAUUCAGUGAAUCAUCGAAUCUUUGAACGCACAUUGCGCCCCCUGGUAUUCCGGGGGGCAUGCCUGUUCGAGCGUCAUUUCACCACUCAAGCCUCGCUUGGUAUUGGGCAUCGCGGUCCGCCGCGCGCCUCAAAUCGACCGGCUGGGUCUUCUGUCCCCUAAGCGUUGUGGAAACUAUUCGCUAAAGGGUGUUCGGGAGGCUACGCCGUAAAACAACCCCAUUUCUAAGGUUGACCUCGGAUCAGGUAGGGAUACCCGCUGAACUUAAGCAUAUCAAUAAGCGGAGGA